GACGAACGCUGGCGGCGUGCCUAAUACAUGCAAGUAGAACGGACAGUUUAUACCGUAGCUUGCUACACCAUAGACUGUGAGUUGCGAACGGGUGAGUAACGCGUAGGUAACCUGCCUGGUAGCGGGGGAUAACUAUUGGAAACGAUAGCUAAUACCGCAUAAUAUUGAUUAUUGCAUGAUAAUUGAUUGAAAGAUGCUAUUGCAUCACUACCAGAUGGACCUGCGUUGUAUUAGCUAGUAGGUGAGGUAACGGCUCACCUAGGCGACGAUACAUAGCCGACCUGAGAGGGUGAUCGGCCACACUGGGACUGAGACACGGCCCAGACUCCUACGGGAGGCAGCAGUAGGGAAUCUUCGGCAAUGGACGAAAGUCUGACCGAGCAACGCCGCGUGAGUGAAGAAGGUUUUCGGAUCGUAAAGCUCUGUUGUAAGAGAAGAACGGGUGUGAGAGUGGAAAGUUCACACUGUGACGGUAUCUUACCAGAAAGGGACGGCUAACUACGUG
This 505-nucleotide ribosomal RNA is filed under the name uncultured bacterium. RNAcentral describes it as "partial 16S ribosomal RNA". It matches the Rfam family "Bacterial small subunit ribosomal RNA", at positions 28 to 507 of the family's 1533-position model. The record is from RNAcentral.